CGAUCAUGGCUCAGGAUGAACGCUAGCUACAGGCUUAACACAUGCAAGUCGAGGGGCAGCAUGUUGGUUGCUUGCAACCAACGAUGGCGACCGGCGCACGGGUGAGUAACGCGUAUCCAACCUGCCCUUGUCCAUCGGAUAACCCGUCGAAAGGCGGACUAACACGAUAUGCAGUUCUCCGCAGGCAUCUAACGAGAACGAAAUGUGAAGGAGAAGGAUGGGGAUGCGU
This 229-nucleotide ribosomal RNA is filed under the name uncultured bacterium. Its description in RNAcentral is "partial 16S ribosomal RNA". It matches the Rfam family "Bacterial small subunit ribosomal RNA", at positions 14 to 236 of the family's 1533-position model. The record is from RNAcentral.